UAACACCGGCGGCCCGAGUGGUAACCGUUUUUAUUGGGUCUAAAGGGUCCGUAGCCGGCCUGAAAAGUCCUUUGGGAAAUCUGACAGCUUAACUGUCAGGCUUCUAAGGGAUACUGUCAGGCUUGGGACCGGGAGAGGUAAGGGGUACUCCAAGGGUAGGAGUGAAAUCUUGUAAUCCUUGGGGGACCAUCUGUGGCGAAGGCGCCUUACCAGAACGGGUCCGACGGUGAGGGACGAAAGCUAGGGGAGCAAACCGGAUUAGAUACCCGGGUAGUCCUAGCCGUAAACGAUGCUCGCUAGGUGUCAGGCACGGUGCGUCCGUGUCCGGUGCCGCAGGGAAGCCGUUAAGCGAGCCACCUGGGAAGUACGGUCGCAAGGCUG
RNAcentral lists this ribosomal RNA (381 nucleotides) under uncultured Methanobacteria archaeon. RNAcentral describes it as "bacterial SSU rRNA". It matches the Rfam family "Archaeal small subunit ribosomal RNA", at positions 471 to 851 of the family's 1478-position model. The record is from RNAcentral. Lineage: Archaea; Methanobacteriati; Methanobacteriota; Methanobacteria.